UGAACCCUCUGGCUGUCAGUGAUGGGUCCUUCUGUGACCUGUCUGCUGACUGAAUGAACAUCUUUCCUCUCCUCUGGACAGGUCAGGGACUUGUCUGCCUGCCAGUGGCAGGUCAAAACACUUGUGAUUACCCAUGGGGACAGAGACUGGUCUCUGAAGACUUUUGGUCUUCUUAUUCAAUGACAAUCUCAAGAACAUUGAAGCACCAGCAGGAAAAGCCAUCAGGUUCCAGAUGCCACCAUGAUGUCAAUCGGACUUCUCUGGGCAGACGACCCUACCAAUAUGUCCGGGAGCCCCUCUUCCCCAGAGCCCUGCCCCACUAGGGAAAGAGACAGACAGGCUGGGAGUAUGGAUCAACCUGUCAAUGCUCAUGUUCAGUGGGGAGGCAAUUACAGAAGUCAGACAUUCCACCUUCUGCACCCCAU
Long non-coding RNA from Erinaceus europaeus (western European hedgehog), 425 nucleotides. RefSeq lists it as uncharacterized. The record is from RefSeq and is a predicted model, not a curated record. The transcript is spliced from 3 exons. NCBI's taxonomy places the organism in Eukaryota, Metazoa, Chordata, Mammalia, Eulipotyphla, Erinaceidae.